RNAcentral lists this unclassified non-coding RNA (377 nucleotides) under plant metagenome. RNAcentral describes it as "partial contains 5.8S ribosomal RNA, internal transcribed spacer 2, and large subunit ribosomal RNA". The stretch from base 1 to 104 matches the Rfam family "5.8S ribosomal RNA", at positions 51 to 154 of the family's 154-position model. The record is from RNAcentral.
AAAUGCGAUAAGUAAUGUGAAUUGCAGAAUUCAGUGAAUCAUCGAAUCUUUGAACGCACCUUGCGCUCCUUGGUAUUCCUUGGAGCAUGCCUGUUUGAGUAUCAUGAAAUCUUCAAAGUAAAUCUUUUGUUAACUCAAUUGGUUUCUACUUUGGUAUUGGAGGUCUUUGCAGCUUCACACCUGCUCCUCUUUGUUCAUUAGCUGGAUCUCAGUGUUAUGCUUGGUUCCACUCGGCGUGAUAAGUUAUCUAUCGCUGAGGACACUGUAAAAGGUGGCCAAGGUAAAUGCAGAUGAACCGCUUCUAAUAGUCCAUUGACUUGGACAAUACUUUUAUGAUCUGAUCUCAAAUCAGGUAGGACUACCCGGUGAACUUAAGC